UGCCAGCAGCCGCGGUAAUACGUAGGUGGCAAGCGUUAUUCGGAUUUAUUGGGCGUAAAGGGUCCGUAGGGGGUUUGAUUAGUCUGAUGUGAAAGCCCGGGGCUCAACCCCGGAAGUGCAUUGGAAACUGGCGAACUUGAGUACGGGAGAGGAAAGUGGAAUUCCGAGUGUAGGGGUGAAAUCCGUAGAUAUUCGGAGGAACACCAGUGGCGAAGGCGGCUUUCUGGACCGAUACUGACGCUGAGACGCGAAAGCGUGGGGAGCAAACAGGAUUAGAUA
RNAcentral lists this ribosomal RNA (279 nucleotides) under uncultured bacterium. RNAcentral's name for it is "partial 16S ribosomal RNA". It matches the Rfam family "Bacterial small subunit ribosomal RNA", at positions 506 to 784 of the family's 1533-position model. The record is from RNAcentral.